CCCUUAGAUGUUCUGGGCAGCACGCGCGCUACAAUGGUCUUCGCAAACGGAUGCAUUCUCGAAGGAGAAUGCCAAUCUUGGAAUCUAUGCCUUGGUCGGGACAGUUGCUUGCAAUUUUUCGACUCGAACCAGGAAUUCCUUGUAAUCGUGAUUCAUCACAUCACGAUGAAUACGUCCCUGCCCUUUGUACACACCGCCCGUCGCUUCUACCGAUCGAAGAGUUAGGUGAAUUGUUUUGAUCGAUAAGAUUUGACUAUGGUCAACUCUCGUCGUGAAAUUCUGUGAAUCUGACUGUUUAGAGGAAGGAAAAGUCGUAACA
Molecule: ribosomal RNA, 319 nt
Filed under: uncultured eukaryote
Lineage: Eukaryota
Description: partial 18S ribosomal RNA
Rfam family: Eukaryotic small subunit ribosomal RNA
Source: RNAcentral